CUCAUUAUGAAGAAAUUUGGGAGACAAUUCAUUAUGAUGGACUUUCUAACUUUAUCUCCGGUCCUUGUGUCUCAGCUCCUUUCCUGCAAGAUGAUAGAACUGGACUAGCUCAUGUCCAGGGACUUCUGGCUCUAAGACUUCAUCAAUCUAUGAUCCUUAAUCAGAGAACUAAUUUGAAUUUGAGCCUGCCUUGCCUCCGUAUCAGGUGCAAACACUUCAGAAUUGCUGAUAAGUACCAUCCGACUCGGGCCCUUCCCCUUGUUACCCUCAGUUCUUUCCGCUCCUCCACCUACUCUCUGCACUCCAGAGAUGAGAAGACUGUGCUCAGAGAUGUCAAGCGACGUGGAAGAAUCACCCAGCUAAUAGGAGACAAAUUUGGAAUUUGCAGCAACACAGAACAGAUGCUGCCCCAGAUGUGGAAGAUGCAGAUGUUUGCCAGUUUCAGAAUAACUCCAAAUUCAUAACUGUAUCUGGCAUUCUACAGAUUCCUCAGUUUGAUUUUGAGGAGAAAAUUGUCCCCCCUCCCCAAAACAUUGUUUAAAUAUUUUUUCCUGCUUUAUAUGUGACUUGGUGGUCACAUUUAAUUGAGAAUUGAACACCAGUUCCAUUUUUAGUUACCACAGAAAGAUACUAAAAAUUAUUAUAGUUAAUAUGCAAAUAUACAAAUCAGUUCUCCGUAUUUUGAGUUUUCAAAAAAUCAAUUUACUAAACAUUCAGGCACUGAGCAUUUACUAAGCACUAUGUGUCUGGUAGUGAGUGAGGUACCGACAGGAUGUAAAAAGAUAAACACACAAGUCACACAAGUCACUGUCAUAGAUUCAAAGAAAUGUAUCAUCUGAAGAUGUCCUAGCAGUUAUAACUUAAGAUGUAUAUAGAGACAUAUAUUUAUUCAGGUAUAUGCAUAUAAAUAUGUAUGUGCAUAUAUUUCUUUACAAAGAUAUUAUACUAAAGGAAGCAGAGAAUAAUAUUAAAGCAAAAUAAAAGUUGACCAGUAGAAAAGAGGUCAAAUAACAGGUACAACAUCUGUUGUCAUAUAAAAAUAUAAAUAGACUUCUGAUGUCAGAGCAAAUGCCACACAACUGGACCUAAUUAAAAGGGGGGAGAAUCUGGCUAUAUUCAAACUAUUAUAAACAGUUAGUUCAAAUAUUUGAGUGCCUGUGAUGGACAAUAUGGAAUAUACAGAAAGCAUAUUAUGAACCCUCUCCUCAUCUUGUCUAUAAAUAACCAGGGGUAAGGUAGGUACAUAAAGACAUAUAAUACUGUACAGAAAAUAGCUCAUUGGAGAAGUUAAAGAAAAUGCUAAAAGAAGUGCAAGGAGAAAUUCUUCCAAUUUACAGAAUCAAAGAAAGUGGAAUGGAUGUGUUAGAAUUUGAGUUUAGAUUUAAUAGGAUGGGAGGGUUUCAAAAGAGAGGUUGCUUCAAUAUUUCCAUGUGGGACAGACUUAGUAGCAACAUGUGAUUGUCAGGAGCUUCAAUGAUUGAUAGAGCCUUGUCUUGAAGUUAUAUUUUCAGUACCAGUUCCCUAUUUUCCACUUGGGUUAGAAAAUGUGGGUUAUAUUUAAGGUGGCUAACUGGCCAGCAGACAUGGAUAAGGAAGAGGUUAAAACUCACCCAACUCUGUACUACUUCUGCACAAAAAAUUAGCAAAGGUGUAAGAUUUCAUUCAGAAAAUAUGGAUUAAUUUUUCCUAGUAAGAACUUGAAAUAUAUGUAUAAAAGAAAAGAAUAGUACAAGAUACACAUUAAAAAAUAGAAUAGAGAAAGAGAAUAUGAGGACUAGGGAAAAGUUGGAUCAAUAAAGCAGAUUAGGAAUUUCAGGCUUUGCUCUCUAGCCAGUAGAAAGCAUUUUUUUCUUCCUCCAGUUGUUUUGUUUUCCAAGUAAUAAGACAGAAUGAUCAGAUGGUUAAUAUAGAAGUGACUUGAUGGAUAGACUGGCAAAGAGAAAAACUAAAGUCAGGGAGAUCAUUUAGAGGCCUAUUCAAUAGUCUAGGUUAAGGUGAAAAGAUGAAUUUAUAGAUAAGGUAGAAAGAAGAAAAUGAAUUCAAGAUGAAUUCAUCACAGUAUAAACAAUAAGUAAUUUAGUUAGAAUACUUUCAUGAUGAAAGGUUGUAUAAUUAAAGGACAACUAAAAUUUCAAGCUUGGAUAACUAUGGGAAUGUUAUCCCUAGUUAACAGUGACAGAACUGUGAAAAUCUAUGUGUGUUUUGCUUUAAAAUUUAACAGUGGGAGAGAUGGAAAAAAACUCUUCUUUGGGCUUUUAAGGUUGGAAGUUCAGAUAUCUUUUACAAUAGAAUAUCCAACAGGCAACAGAAAAUUGGAACUAUAGUUUUACAAAUAAUUGCUGCUAUAGAAUGAAUGAGACUUAAGACAAUGUAGAAAGAAAAUAAAGAAUGGGAAGAUCAAUUAGGUACAUUGUAUGUGGGGAGGAAAGAAAUUGGAGGAGAAAAUGAAGAAUCAGGAUUGUGAGAGCAACUGUAGAUUAGUUCAUUUUUGCAGUGGUUUAUUCAAGAAGAAAUGGUAAAAGUGUCAAACAGUCUAAAAAAGUCAAGUUCAAUAAUUUAGAAAAAUUCGCUGAAUUUGUUGAAUAAAUGGUAAAAAAAAAAAGGGUAAGAAAUAAAAAGGGUAAGAAAUGGACAGUUGAAUAUUAAGUUUUUAACUUUUAUAUAUAUAAAUAUAUAUAUAUAUUUAUAUAUAUCUAGAACAUUUCAUCCCAAAGCAACAGAAUGCACAUUCUUUACAAGUGCACAUGGAACAGUCUUUAAGAUAGAUCAUAUAUUAGGCCACAAAAUGAGCCUUAAUAAAUUUAAGAAGAUUGAAAUUAUAUCAGGCAUCUUUUCCCAACCACAAUAGUAUGAAACUAGAAAUAAAUUAUAAAAAGAAAACUGGAAAAUUCAUGAAUAUGUGGAGAUAAAAAAUAUGCACUGAUAACCACUGGGUCAAAGAAUUAAAAGUUAAAUUAAAAAAACCUUAAAACAAAAAAAAAUGGAAGUACAACAUACCAAAAGAUAUGGGAUGCAAAAAAAAAGAAGUUCAAAGAGGGAAGUUCAUAGUGAUAAAUGCCUACAUUAAGAAAUAAGAAAAAUCUCAACAAUUUAACACCUCAAGGAACUAGUGAAAGAAGAACAACUUAAGUGCAAGGUUAACAGAAGGAAGGAAAUAAGAAAGAUCAGAAUGGAAGUAAAUAAAAUAGAGACUGAAAAGACAAACAGAUCAAUGAAACUAAGAGCUGGUUCUUUGAAAAGCUCAAAAAAACUAAGAAAAAAAAAGAGGGCUCAAAAUCAGAAAUGAAAGAGGAGAUAUUACACCCCAAACCACAGAAAUACAAAGGAUGAGAGAGCCUAAACAAUUAUACGCCAACAAGUUGGACAACCUAGAAGAAAUGGCUAAAUUCCUAGAAGCAUACAACCUGCCAAUACUGAGUCAUCAAGAAAUAAAAAAUCUGAACAGACUGAUUACUAGCAAGAAUAUUGAAUCAGAAAUAAAACAGAAAAAGCUCAGGACCAGAUGGCUUCACUUGUUAAAUGUUUGGUAGAAUUAAAAGAAAAUUAAUACAGAGUCUCUUCAAACUCUUCCAAAGAAUAGAAGAGGAAAGAACACUUUCAACCUCAUUUUAUGAGGCCAGCAUUAACCUGAUACCAAAACCAGACAAGGAUGUCACACACACACGAAUUACAGGCCAAUAUCCCUGUAAAGAAUAGGGGAAAAAAAUUCUCAACAAAUAUUAGCAAAUCAAUUCAAGAAUACAUUAAAAGGAUCAUACACCAUGAUCAAGUGGGAUUUAUCCCAGGGAUGAAAGAAUGGUUCAACAUCCACAAAUUAAUCAAUGAGAUAUACCCCAUUAAAAAAAUGAAGGAUGAAAAUUACAUGAUCAUCUCAAUAGAUGCAGAAAAAGCAUUUGACAAAAUUCAACAUUUAAGAUAAAACCUCUCAACAAAGUGGGUAUAGAGAGAAUAUACCUCAACAUAACAAAGCCCAUAUAUGAUAAGCUAACAUCAUACUCAACAAUGAAAAGGUAAAAUCAGGAUCAAGAAAAGGAUGCCCACUCCCACCAUUUUCAUCCAACUUAAUAUUGGAAGUACUAGCUUGAGCAAUUAGGCUAGAAAAAGAAAAGCAUCCAAGUUGGAAAGGAAGAAGUAGAACUGUCAAUAUUUGCAAAUAACAUGAUAUUAUUUAUUCAAAACCCUGAGACUUCAUCAAAAUAACUGUUAGAACUAAUCAACACAUUCAGUAAAGUCACAGGAUACAAAAUCAAUGUAUGGUAAUCUGUGGUAUGUCUAUUCACUAAAAAUGAAUUAUCAGAAAGAGAAAUUAAAACUAUCCCAUCUACAACUGCAUCAAAAAGAAUAAAACAGGGCUUCCCUGGUGGCGCAGUGGUUGAGGGUCCGCCUGCCGAUGCAGGGGACACGGGUUCUUGCCCCGGUCCGGGAAGAUCCCACAUGCCACGGAGUGGCUGUGCCCGUGAGCCAUGGCCGCUGAGCCUGCGCGUCGGGAGGCUGUUGCUCCGCGACAGGAGAGGCCACAGAAGUGAGAGGCCCGCGUACCGCAAACAAAACAAAACAAAAACAAAAAAAGAAUAAAACAUAUAAGAAUAAAUUUAACCAAGGAGGCAUAAGACCUCUAUACUGAAAACUAUAAGACACUGAUGAAAAAAACUGUAGAAGAAAAAAAAAUGUGGAACAAUACUCUGAGUUCAUGGAUUGAAAGAAUUAAUAUUGUUAAAAUGUCCAUACUACCCAAAGCUAUCUAUUGGUUCAAUGCAACCCCUAUCAAAAUCAUUAGAGAAAUGCAAAUCAAAACUACAAUGAGGUAUCACCUCACAGUGGUCAGAAUGGCCAUCAUCAAAAAAUCCACAAACAAUAAAUGCUAGAGAGGGUUUGAAGAAAAGGGAACCCUCUUGCACUGGUGGUGGGAAUGUAAAUUGAUACAGCCACUAUGGAGAACAGUAUGUUGGUUCCUUAAAAAAAUAAAAAUAGAAAUACCAUAUGAUGCAGCAAUCCCACUACUGGGCAUAUACCCUGAGAAAACCAUAAUUCAAAAAGAGUCAUGUACCACAAUGUUCAUUGCAUCUCAAUUUACAAUAGCCAGGACAUGGAAGCAACCUACGUGUCCAUCAACAGACAAAUGGAUAAAGAAGAUGUGGCACAUAUAUACAAUGGAAUAUUACUCAGCCAUAAAAAGAAAUGAAAUUGAGAGAUUUGUAGUGAGGUGGAUGGACCUAGAGUCUGUCAUACAGAGUGAAGUAAGUCAGAAAGAGAAAAAUACCAUAUGCUAACACAUAUAUAUGGAAUCUAAAAAAAUUAAAAAUGGUUUUGAAGAAGCUAGGGGCAGGACAGGAAUAAAGAUGCAGACAUAGAGAAUGGACUUGAGGACACGGGGAGGAGAAGGGUAAGCUGGGACGAAGUGAGAGAGUGGCAUGGACAUAUAUACACUAUCACAUGUAAAAUAGAUAGCUGGUGGGAAGCAGCCACAUAGCACAGGGAGAUCAGGUGCUUUGUGACCACCUAGAGGGGUGCGAUAGGGAGGGAGGGAGGGAGAUGCAAGAAGGAGGAGAUAUGGGGUUAUAUGUAUAUCUAUAGCUGAUUCACUCUGUUAUAUAGCAGAAACUAACACACCAUUGUAAAGCAAUUAUACUCCAAUAAAGAUGUUAAAAAAAUAAUUCCAAUGACAUUUUUUACAGAAACAGAACAAUCCAAAAAUUGAAUGGGACACAAGACCAUGAAUAAUUAAGGCAAUCUUGAGGUAGAAGACCAAAGCAGGAGGUAUCACCCUCCCUGAUUUCAAACUCUAUUACAAAACUAUAGUAAUUAAAACAGUAUAGUAUUGGCAUAAAAACAGACACACAGAUCAAUGGAACUGAAUAGCACAGAAAUAAACCCACUUAUAUAGUACAUUAAUUUACAACAAAGGAGCCAAGAACAAUGAGAAAAGGACAGUCUCUUCAGUUAAUGCUGUUGGGAAAACUGGACCAUUAUCUUAUACCAUACAAAAAUAUCAAUACAAAAUACAUCAAAGAUUUGAACUUAAUGCCUGAAACCAUAAAAUUCCUAGAAGAAAAAUAGGUGGUAAGCUCCUUGACAUUGGUCUUGGGGAUGAUUUUUUGGAUUUGACACCAAAAGGCAAAAAAUGCAAAAAUAAACAAGUGGAACUAUAUCAAACUAAAAACCUUCUGCACAGCAAAAGAAACUAUCAACAAAAUGAAAAAGCAAGCUCCUGAAUGGGUGAAAAUGUUUGCAAAUCAUAUAUUUGAUAAAAUAUCCAAAAUAUGUAAAGAACUGAUAGAAUAGUAAAAAAACAAUCUGAUUAAAAAGUGGGCAGAAAAUCAAAAUUACUAUGAGGUAACACCUAACACUGGUCAGAAUGGCCACCAUUAAAAAGUCUACAACUAACAAAUGCUGGAGAGGGUGUGGAGAAAAGGAAACUGUUCAGCACUGUUGGUGGGAAUGUAAAUUGGUACAGCCACUAAAGAAAACAGUAUGGAGGAUCCUUAAAAAACUAAAAAUACGCAUGCCACGGAGCGGCUGGGCCUGUGGGCCGUGGCCGCUGGGCCUGCGCAUCCAGAGCCUGUGCU
This is a long non-coding RNA of Orcinus orca (killer whale), 6566 nucleotides long. RefSeq lists it as uncharacterized. NCBI's taxonomy places the organism in Eukaryota, Metazoa, Chordata, Mammalia, Artiodactyla, Delphinidae. The transcript is spliced from 4 exons. The record is from RefSeq and is a predicted model, not a curated record.